AUUGAACGCUGGCGGCAGGCCUAACACAUGCAAGUCGAGCGGAUGAAGGGAGCUUGCUCCUGGAUUCAGCGGCGGACGGGUGAGUAAUGCCUAGGAAUCUGCCUGGUAGUGGGGGAUAACGUCCGGAAACGGGCGCUAAUACCGCAUACGUCCUGAGGGAGAAAGUGGGGGAUCUUCGGACCUCACGCUAUCAGAUGAGCCUAGGUCGGAUUAGCUAGUUGGUGGGGUAAAGGCCUACCAAGGCGACGAUCCGUAACUGGUCUGAGAGGAUGAUCAGUCACAAGGGAACUGAGACACGGUCCAGACUCCUACGGGAGGCAGCAGUGGGGAAUAUUGGACAAUGGGCGAAAGCCUGAUCCAGCAAUGCCGCGUGUGUGAAGAAGGUCUUCGGAUUGUAAAGCACUUUAAGUUGGGAGGAAGGGCAGUAAGUUAAUACCUUGCUGUUUUGACGUUACCAACAGAAUAAGCACCGGCUAACUUCGUG
RNAcentral lists this ribosomal RNA (484 nucleotides) under uncultured bacterium. RNAcentral describes it as "partial 16S ribosomal RNA". It matches the Rfam family "Bacterial small subunit ribosomal RNA", at positions 30 to 507 of the family's 1533-position model. The record is from RNAcentral.